GGGGGUAUAGCUCAAGGGUAGAGCGAUCGCUUCGCUUGCGAGAAGUCCGGAUUUCGAUUCCCACUACCUCCA
RNAcentral lists this transfer RNA (72 nucleotides) under Angiostrongylus costaricensis. It matches the Rfam family "tRNA". From Rfam's summary of the family: Transfer RNA (tRNA) molecules are approximately 80 nucleotides in length. Their secondary structure includes four short double-helical elements and three loops (D, anti-codon, and T loops). The record is from Rfam by way of RNAcentral. Lineage: Eukaryota; Metazoa; Nematoda; Chromadorea; Rhabditida; Metastrongylidae.